AAGUAAAAGUCGUAACAAGGUUUCCGUAGGUGAACCUGCGGAAGGAUCAUUACUGAAUAACGAGGUGUGCUGUUCUGGCUCUUCGGAGCAUGUGAACGCGGCUUCAAAUUCUUCUUAACCCACUGUGCACCUUUGUAGACUAUGACGACUCUCAAUGAGCCGGAGCUCGCUCCGGUCUGUUGGAUCGAGGGAUUUGCGACUCAGCUAUCCUUCAAUGUCGUAGUCUAUGUUAUAUCUCUAUAAACAAGUCCUAGAAUGUCAUUUACGGGUUUUAACGAACCUAUAAAACUAUAUACAACUUUCAACAACGGAUCUCUUGGCUCUCGCAUCGAUGAAGAACGCAGCGAAAUGCGAUAAGUAAUGUGAAUUGCAGAAUUCAGUGAAUCAUCGAAUCUUUGAACGCACCUUGCACUCUUUGGUAUUCCGAAGAGUAUGCCUGUUUGAGUGUCAUUAAAUUCUCAAACCUCGAUGGCUUUAUUGACGUCGAGGCUUUGGAUGUGGGAGUUGCUGGUACCUUUGUCAGGUUCAGCUCUCCUUAAAUGCAUUAGUGGUUACUGUUUCCCCACUAUCCCUGGUGUGAUAAUUAUCUACGCCUUGGUGAGGGAAUGUCGAGUGUAGCUGCUUUCUAACCGUCCAUGCAAUGUGGACAACUUGAACCAUUUGACCUCAAAUCAGGUAGGACUACCCGCUGAACUUAAGCAUAUCAAUAAGCGGAGGA
Molecule: ribosomal RNA, 718 nt
Filed under: uncultured Hemimycena
Lineage: Eukaryota; Fungi; Basidiomycota; Agaricomycetes; Agaricales; Tricholomataceae
Description: eukaryotic LSU rRNA
Rfam family: 5.8S ribosomal RNA (bases 297-450)
Source: RNAcentral